GGAGGAAGCGAAGCCUGGGUUGAACAUGACACAUGGAGUCAAGCACAGAUUUAGUCUCCAGAGCACAGUCAGCAACACGGGGCCGUAUGGCACAGGAGACGGAAUGGGUACCAGCUGGGAAGCUUGGCACACCGCCCAAAGCAGCCCUCCUCUGGUGCGCACAAUGGGCUGGAUGACCUGCAUUCAUCUUUAAAAUUCGGUGGAGACAGGUAGAUACGUAAUAACUGCAAGCGCGGAGCACAGGCCUGAGGACAUUUUAGGUCCUCAAUAGUCAACAUUACAUCCUUUGAGUGACCCGACUCACUAGUGUCACCAAGUGCACCAUGACAGUGUUGAGUCUAGGAAUGAUAGCAGAGCUACUUGAAGUUCUUGUGCCUCAGUUUUCCCCACGUGUAGGACGAAGAGUUUCAGAACUUUCGAAACAUCUGAGAACCUCCAGAUGCUGUAAAAACAACAACAGCAGCAGCAGCAGCAGCAACAACAACAAUUCUUAGACAGAGGGGGAAGCAAUACUUUGGCCACCUGGAUAAUUAACUCCUCAUCCAU
RNAcentral lists this long non-coding RNA (546 nucleotides) under Mus pahari (shrew mouse). RNAcentral describes it as "lncRNA (MGP_PahariEiJ_G0006212.1)". The record is from RNAcentral. Lineage: Eukaryota; Metazoa; Chordata; Mammalia; Rodentia; Muridae.